UUAAAUCACAGAUAAAACAGAAUAUCAUUUUGAUAAACAUGCUUAGGAUCUGUGCUGCAUUUUUUAAAUUCUGCAUUUCUCUAAACAGACACACUGUGUAUAUUAGUUUUCUACUGACAGCAAGUAUCAUAAAUGGAGAUGAAGUAACACAAGAAUCGAGUAAAACUGCAUAUGAAGAGGGAGAUGCAGUUCUUCUCUGUAAUUUCACAACAACAGCAGCUGCAGUAACACAACUGUACUUCUACUGGUAUCAGCAGAAAGCAAAUGGACAUUUAGAAUAUUUACGUCUUCAGGUAUAUAAAUCUAAACCUGAUGCAAAAGAAGGUCGCUUCACAUCACACUUUGAUGCAUCCAAGAAUUUUGUGUAUCUGAAUAUUUCUGGGGCCCAGCUCUCUGACUCGGCAGUUUACUAUUGUGCGAUGAGUGACACAGUGUUGAUAUGUUCACUAAUGUGA
This is a non-coding RNA of Protopterus annectens (West African lungfish), 455 nucleotides long. The record is from the annotation of a RefSeq genome assembly. Lineage: Eukaryota; Metazoa; Chordata; Ceratodontiformes; Protopteridae.